This 273-nucleotide ribosomal RNA is filed under the name uncultured bacterium. Its description in RNAcentral is "partial 16S ribosomal RNA". It matches the Rfam family "Bacterial small subunit ribosomal RNA", at positions 524 to 796 of the family's 1533-position model. The record is from RNAcentral.
UACAGAGGGUGCAAGCGUUGUUCGGAAUUAUUGGGCGUAAAGCGCGUGUAGGCGGCUUUGCAAGUCGGGUGUGAAAGCCCUCAGCUUAACUGAGGAAGUGCGCCCGAAACUGCAGAGCUUGAGUACCGGAGAGGAUGGUGGAAUUCCCCAAGUAGAGGUGAAAUUCGUAGAUAUGGGGAGGAACACCGGUGGCGAAGGCGACCAUCUGGACGGAUACUGACGCUGAGACGCGAAAGCGUGGGUAGCAAACAGGAUUAGAAACCCUGGUAGUCC